AAAAAGACAAAACUGGUUUCCGUGUCCAACGUUUAACCGUCCGUCUUAUUUAAAAAAAUUUAAAAAGAUACGUCACGUAUAAAGUAUUAAUCAUAUUUUAUUAUCUAACAACAAUGAAAAUAUUAAUUAUAAAAAAAUUUCAUAUAAGACGGACAAUCAAACGUUAGCACGGGAACUCACGGUUUGCUUUUUU
Non-coding RNA from Oryza meridionalis, 193 nucleotides. Lineage: Eukaryota; Viridiplantae; Streptophyta; Magnoliopsida; Poales; Poaceae. The record is from Rfam.